UCGUCUUGGAGAGAAUGUAGAGCGUCUCGUAGGUGUGGCUGUAUUCCAGGUGCGCGCGCAGCGACGACAGGCUCCGGAAGCGCUUAUGCUCCCCGCAUCGUGGGCAUCUGUACGGAAUAAGCAUGAGAGUCCAGGUGCCUGGGAAACCAGAUUCUCUGAAGCUAGAAUUAAAGGUGAUUAUGAGCUGCCCGACAUAAGUGCUAGGAACCAAACUCUGCGCCUCUGGAAGCUUUCAGGCUCAUCUGAACUGUGCCUCCCAACAAUCUCACCUGUUGCUCCUGCGGAAAACCUUAGAUGGUCUUACU
Alexandromys fortis (reed vole) is the source of this 305-nucleotide long non-coding RNA. RefSeq lists it as uncharacterized. The transcript has 3 exons. NCBI's taxonomy places the organism in Eukaryota, Metazoa, Chordata, Mammalia, Rodentia, Cricetidae. The record is from RefSeq and is a predicted model, not a curated record.